Molecule: ribosomal RNA, 253 nt
Filed under: uncultured bacterium
Lineage: Bacteria
Description: partial 16S ribosomal RNA
Rfam family: Bacterial small subunit ribosomal RNA
Source: RNAcentral
GACGUAGGGCGCGAGCGUUGUCCGGAUUUAUUGGGCGUAAAGAGCUCGUAGGCGGCUCGUUGCGUCGGCUGUGAAAACCCGCAGCUCAACUGUGGGCUUGCAGCUGAUACGGGCGGGCUGGAGUUCGGUAGGGGAGACUGGAAUUCCUGGUGUAGCGGUGAAAUGCGCAGAUAUCAGGAGGAACACCGGUGGCGAAGGCGGGUCUCUGGGCCGAUAUUGACGCUGAGGAGCGAAAGCCAGGGGAGCAAACGGG